AGCAUCGAUCUAAUAUUGAGAGAACACACGAGCAGAUUACCAGGUCGUCAGCUCCCGCGAACAAUUUAGCAGUGAAGAGGACAACGCAGAGGUACGCCGCCACGACAUGGACAGAGCAAGAUACUGCCAGAAAAGAUCUUACUUCUUGGUGAGCUUCCAGGGAUAUUAGAAUCUCUCAAAGAGGCCCUGGAGUCCAUGAAACGAGGUUCAUUCAGCUCAAGCCCAAGAUCAUCUGAGCUGUGUCUUCCUGAAACCUCAGAAAUGAUUUCCCUCGGUGGUUCUGAUGUCCCCAAAGAGUCUAUGGCAGACUGAACAAGUCACGAACUUCUCUUUUUACUCACGACUUGGCCACUUUACUUUUUGCUAUUGUAUUUCACUUUGUUUGACUUAAAGGAUUAGUUCACUUAAAAAAA
This is a non-coding RNA of Pimephales promelas (fathead minnow), 413 nucleotides long. The record is from RefSeq and is a predicted model, not a curated record. NCBI's taxonomy places the organism in Eukaryota, Metazoa, Chordata, Actinopteri, Cypriniformes, Leuciscidae.